RNAcentral lists this long non-coding RNA (1586 nucleotides) under Nilaparvata lugens (brown planthopper). RNAcentral's name for it is "uncharacterized LOC120350336". The record is from RNAcentral. Lineage: Eukaryota; Metazoa; Arthropoda; Insecta; Hemiptera; Delphacidae.
UGUAACGUCCCUUUCUAUUGGUGGAAAUUUUUCUAGAGAAUAGUAACUGCCAAUCACAGUUGGUGUUGGUUAGGUCUAUUUAGUAUGGACGAUCUCACAGCUGUCCACCUCAAGACGAGAAAAGCGUAGUGGACUCACUCAGCGUCUGUCGACUGUCAUUAGCAGUACUAAAUGUAGUCUGUUCAGAACUUUGUAUUAAUCAUGGCUGCCAUGCCAGCUUUAGGCUUUUUUUUAGUAUUUGGCUCUGGAACCUUUUGUUCCAGCAGCAUUUUUAGUCUUUUGCCUCUGUAGUCGCUUUAAUUGAGAAGAGAGAGAGAGAGUAUCAAAUUGUCACCUCACAAUGGAGAUUUUUCUCCUAUAACCGCUACUAAAGCGGUGUAAGUACGGGAACAUCAAGUAUGGGAUCAACGUACGAAUCCAUCAUUUCAUGGGUUCAUGAGCGUGUGUCUUUAAGCCGCUGAGACGCCUCUGAAUCGAUGGCCGUCCUAGCUUGGGGUAUGCUGUCUCCUGUCCAUCUGGACGUGUAGAGCUCGAUCACCGAGCCUAGAUUCAAUUUGAAGAAACAGCUAUGAGUGUUGCAUCAAAGACCACCAAGUCUUGUGAAUGGCGAUUUUGCGUUUGAUUGAGCUGAUAGACGAUGGCUGCAGUGUUGAGUCUUGAUGUUGUCCGUGAUGCUGAUCUUCAAUAGCGGGUCUGGUGAGCCAACAUACUGUAAGGUUGGUGCCGAGACAAACAUUGUCUAUCCUUUAUUAUAUUGUUUGAGAUGUUCGUCUAUCAAAAUUUAGUUAUCUGAUUAGUACUGGAAUUUCAGUUGUUUGAUAAUAUUUCAUUGUUAGGGUCAGUAAUGUGCUAUAAAAAUAUAGGGUGUAUUUUGUGGUCUGGCAUUGUGAAGAGAGUUGUCAGACGUGAUAGGGUUUGUUAACGUUUCCUUUAGGCUGUGGUAAUUUUUUUUUGAGCUUAGAUAGGUAGAUGUGAGAAAUCUUAUCUGUUGAAGUUGUAGUUUUGUUUGAUGAAUUAAGUAUCUGGAGUGAGUGUCGCCAGUUGUAAGGGGCACUACUCAGAUGAGGUCCAUAUGACAAAUCAAGGUUAAUAGCUGGGACUAUCCUUGUUGUAUUUGUGGAAUGGAAGAUAGAAUUUUAGCAAAAGGUACUCAGAGUAGUAUGAGCUAAAAUUGGGUUAUUCUGUUGAAUGGUGUGGUUCCUUUCUGAAGAUUUAUGGGGGUCUGAAGAAAAUAGAUGGAAUGCUAACCAAGAUCAGGAUUUUUUUUUGAAAUUUUAGGGUAAGCCUCAGUUGAAAGGUUCGUUAGAUUGAUAGCUGGGAAUGGCCACAAUACACUGUCAAAAUUUAUUUUCAAUUUCUGGGGAUAAAUUUUUUUUCUAAAUAAUGUGGGUAGUGAAAAUCAAAAAUUUAAUUUAAUAGGGAAAGUUAAAUUGUUAAUAAAUAAGUCAAUUUGAAUCAAAAUUAAGUAUAAUGAAUGAGAGAAAAUUUAGAAAGUUUAUAGAGUUCGAAUUUGGAUUUUAUAAUAAUAAAUAUUAUACUGCUAUAGUUAAUUUGGUGAUGCAGACAGUGGAAAGUAAUUUAUUUCA